GAACCCUUCAGGCAUCCCCCAAAGCCCUUUAAGGAUUUACGGCGCGCUUCCUUCACCGCAGCCCUGGGCGGUUGGUGGUGCAAGAACUUUAUACCCAGUUUGCGGAUGAGGAAACUGAGGCCCGGGGAGCUGUUCCCCAGGGGCGGCCAUUUCCGCAGCUAACGGGAGGUAGUCGGGAUCAGGAAGGCCGUUCAGGCCCCCCCCCCCGCGCCAGCGCGGGGAGCGCCGGAGAUUUGGCGCAUUCUGGCCCCAAGGACAGGAUCAGGAGCAAUGAGGGAAGUUUCAGGGGGGAGACUUCCUAAGAAUCAGGACUCGGGGGUAAUGACAACCGCGACAACAUCAUUGUUAGGGAUUUUUUAAGCAGUGAGAGCCGUCCGUCCGUCCGUCCGUCCGCCCUCCACUAGACAGGCUCCCCCAGGAGUGAGUCUGAGCCCGGUCCCCAGAGGUCUUCAUCUGUCAGGGUUCAUGGGGUUCUCUGGCGGCGGACAGGACUGAGGACCUCCGGGGACUCCCAGAUCCGGGACUCUCUUCCAGGGGAAGUUAGGCCUCGGGGCUGGCCUGCGGCCAUCCGGCCCGGCCUUUGUGGCCUUUCCGGGUCAGGGCUGAUUUUCUCAGGGAGCUCGCCCUGCUAUCCCCGCUUGGACCCGGAAGGAAACCGAGCCUCGGCGGCGGAGGCUCUUUCUGCCCCCCUCACCAAGGGGCCCAGGGCUCUGUCCUCUGCCCUGCACAGUCCCCUUCGGCAGGUGGAGGGCGCCCCCUGGGGGAGGGGCGUUAACGGGCUGCAGGAUGCUGAGAGGACAAGCAGGACCGGAAGGGGGCGGGAGGCUAUGAUAACACCCCCAUAGUGUGUUCCGCCUCAAGAGGAGACCGGAUAGUUCUCACUGAGGAAGGGGGAAGGGCCCGGAGGCUCGGUCUGCUUUGCUCCGGGCUACUUCAACGCCCAACAUCAAGAAAAACUCCGACAGAGAGACUGGUUCUGCAGUCACACGCCUAGGCCCGGGAGUCUCCCUGCAGAAAUGUGGCCGGCUAGGGAUGGACCAGAAAGGGCGUCAGGAGCGCGGGGCACUUGCUCCAGGGAGGCUUCUCUCUCCCUCCUGGCCCGGAAGGCCGUCCGCCUUAGCAGCCAGUGCGAAGAGAGGAUGCGGCUUAGUGCUUUCUUCCACCAUCCCUCUGAACACAACGUCCGUGGAACUAUGAGCUCCGGGGCUGCUAUUGACAGCCUGGUGACGUCAGACAAACCGCAUACCCUCUCUCAGCCUCAGUUUCUCCUUCUGUAAAGCAGUGUCAAUGACUCCCACUCUACCUCUAUUUUUCACAAAACCUUCGUAAGGAAAGAAGACUCUUUGUAAAACUUGAAGCAUUUUGGAAACGAGCUGUUCUAUCCUACUUAAGAACAGUUCCUGCUGAGGACGCUGACCCUGUUUUCCAAGAGGAGACGGGAAAGACUGGAUGACCUCUGAGGUCCCCUCAACCUUUGAGAUUCUGUGAUUUUGUGAAACUGAGCUUGAGCCUCCCCUAGUAACACCAAGACCUUUAAACUCAGCAUCUUUUAUCUGCCUCCCCUUUGCUGUUAUUUAUAACUGCUUAAAGGGCCCCUCGGAGCCCCAGGGAAGAGGCAGGAUCACGGCUUGACGGGGCUAUGAAUCUUGCGUUCCUUCCUGAUGUCCUCCUGCAUCUCCGGGACUACCCCGGAAAGAGUCCCCGCUUCCCCUGGGAGCAGAAACACCAAGCCAAGGCAAAGAUUGCUGAGAUGCAUAGCGCUCCCAAGUGAGUCCAGGACUGCUGGGACUGGUGUCUGAAGUUUGUUUGACCUGGGUGAAAGGAACACAAAUAGCAGCUCCCCCCAACAAGAGAAUCCCAACCUCAAGGAACCAAGCAAAGAGGUAGGAUGGGGAUGAGAUCCGAGUUCAUGCAGUCAGACUGUGGAUCCCAGCUCUGACUUCUGGCCAAUGGUGUUAAUCUGCUGAUGUGAUCAUUGUGGGGGGUUCUCUUUUAAGACUUCAUUGUAACUUUGGGGAUAAAAAAGUUUUUUUUUUUAGUA
Molecule: long non-coding RNA, 2041 nt
Organism: Sarcophilus harrisii (Tasmanian devil)
Lineage: Eukaryota; Metazoa; Chordata; Mammalia; Dasyuromorphia; Dasyuridae
Exons: 2
Source: RefSeq, a predicted model, not a curated record